UUGUGGCUAAAUCAUACAUAACUGGGGCCACACCUACUAAUACAAAAGGCUUCUCUUUAAUUCACCAAAUGGAGAUGUUUUGCAUCUACUAAGUAACGGGUGAGGCUUCAACAGAGAAUUCAUACGAGAUUAUCACGUAAAUAGCAAUGGGAUUUGCGAUUCUAAGGGAGUACAGUGCAAUCUUUCUCAAGAAUAUCAUACGAAUUUUUUCCUACUCCGAUCUUGCCGUCACGUGUUUUGUCGCGAUUGUCGAGUGUUGGAAGGAUUGUCAAGAGAAUCGGUUCAGGUAUGUUAAGGCUAUCCCUUCUUUCCUUUUGGCAUGAUCCAAAUGAUACAAACGAAACGAGCAAAAUACGCAACUUUCAUAAAUGACUCUAUUCAUAGAAAUAUUAGGGGUGUCUAUAUUCUUGAUUUUCCGUGUAUUUUAUUAUUAUAUCUUCUGUCCAUGGGUCUCAGAAAAAUAUGUAGUUGAUAAAGUUAUUCGAAAGCCAUAUUGAUCUUAUGACAUUCCGAAAAAUCUUAUUAACGCACUUCUUAUGCAUUUCAUGCAUUUAUACAUGUACAUUGACCCAUGGCCAGAUGGCGUUAUAUAUGCAUAUAUUAUAUGUAUAUGGGAUAUGAGAAAAGGUUAUGGUGUUAUAUACGCACCACCACCUGAUCAGCUGGUAUACAUUGAUGAUUUGCCCACAGUGGCCGAGAUGAUAUGAUGAGAUACCCUCAGAGGCUUGAUGAUGUUAUGAACGCAUAUACCUAUGCAUGGUAUGACAUUUAUAUCCAUAUACAUGACAUUAUAAAUACGAAAUGAUUCAUAGAGAUAUUCAGACUUACAUGUUGAGUCUUUUACUCUAUGUUUCUCAAUGUCUUUUUUUUUAUACUGAUUUUCAUUCCUUACAUACUCGGUACAUUAUUUGUACCGACGUUCCUUUUGCAUGGGGACGCUGUGUUUCAUGCCCGCAGGUCCCGAUAGACAGGUUGAGAGUCCUCCAAAUAGGCUAUCAGCUCGGCGGAAGGUGUUGAUGCGCUCCAUUUGCUCCAGAGUUGCUUAUUUGGUCAGUAUGAUUUGGUCAUGUAUUGAUUAGUAUGGCGGGGCCCUGUCCCGACCUUUAUGGUGCUUAUCUACUCUUAGAGGCUUGUAGACAUAUGUCAUGUACGUGAAAGAUUAUAUGGUCUUGUCGGCCUAUGUUUAGUGUACGAGUGAUCAUUUUGGUCUUAUAGGCUCGUAUGUCAUAUGUAUAAGUUUGUAUUACAUGUUGGGU
This 1256-nucleotide long non-coding RNA is filed under the name Nicotiana tabacum (common tobacco). RNAcentral's name for it is "long non-coding RNA (NTAB_LNC010185)". The record is from RNAcentral. Lineage: Eukaryota; Viridiplantae; Streptophyta; Magnoliopsida; Solanales; Solanaceae.